This 392-nucleotide unclassified non-coding RNA is filed under the name Hevea brasiliensis (rubber tree). Lineage: Eukaryota; Viridiplantae; Streptophyta; Magnoliopsida; Malpighiales; Euphorbiaceae. The record is from RNAcentral.
GGAAAUAGUCGUCACCUGCAUCCUCCUCUCUUCUAUUUCUGGGCUGCUGGAGGAAACCUUCUGCCAUCCACAAGCGGACUAGUUUUUCUUUCUCAAAUUCGUAGCCCCUAGGAAAUAUUGAACAGUAGGCAAAGCAUCGCUUCAGAUUUGCAGGGAGGUGAGAAUAGCUGAGUCUGAGAGAUGAACGAAUGCCUCCCUCGCUGUUUUCCAAGAUGGCAUCCAAUGCCUUCCAAUCUUCAACAGCUCGUUUGGAGCGCAAGAUACUGCCAAGCGCUUUUGCAGCUAAAGGCAAACCUUCACACCUGGCAGCUAUCUGUUCGCCGAUCUCCAGGAGCUCUUGAUGUGAACUUGGGCUUUUUUCUCUGAAUGCCUCUUUUACUAAUAGCGAAAAG